Eriocheir sinensis (Chinese mitten crab) is the source of this 1245-nucleotide long non-coding RNA. RefSeq lists it as uncharacterized. Lineage: Eukaryota; Metazoa; Arthropoda; Malacostraca; Decapoda; Varunidae. The record is from RefSeq and is a predicted model, not a curated record. The transcript is spliced from 3 exons.
ACCAUGGCCACACCAGUUGGAUCUAGCCCCCAGCCUCCGCUCAGGGGCACACCACCAUCUGUCCAAGUGUCUAGCACCCUCCACCUUCGAGGCCGUGCUCCUGUGGCUUGCCUCGCCCUCUUAACACUUGAGAAAGGAGUCUGCAGCCAACCAGUCAUCUGAAAACAAAACCUCCUCACGUCUAUCACUUCCUCCAUGCCGAUUUAAACACUUGCAUUUGACAGCCCCAAGGUUGUCUCUUGAACUCAGCAAGCCCAGAAAAAACACUUAAAAAUGGUGUCUCACCAAGAAGUGGUGGACACUGCCCGAGAUUACCGUUUCACUCGUCAGAUCAAAGUACACUUGUGGCCCCGCUGACGAGCCCACGUCCCAGCCAAGGGAGCCCCGCCCCCGGCCACUCCUGCCCCAGCGUGAGGCAGCCAAUAGUAUAUCGACAACACCAUAUACUCAUGUUGAACGGGUCCAUAACACCGUGGGCCAGGCCAAUCCGCCGUAAAACUUCUUGGCGAGACUCACCGUUCUGCUGAACUACUACGCUACCAAGGUAUGUGAAAUUUUCCGAAAUUUCAAUGUCCUCGCCACACGCAUGAACAGACGUAUUGCACUGUUUCAUCUAGCAAGCCUCCAAACAUCUGUACGCACUACCUUGCUUGGUCUUGGCCCGAAGUCCCGGGCUUCGCCUCCUCGUGCAGUGCCUCGAAGGCCAUCACCAAAACCUCCAGCGACUCCGCCACUAUCAACACUUGCCUGCGCCAUGACGGGCUGAGGCCGAACACCAUCCAGGCCCCUCAGACAAGCCUACCGGCGCUAUAGGCGUAGACGUAAAAAAAAAAAAAAUAAUAAUAAUAAAAAAAAUUGCAAAAAUAAGGUCAGCGACCCUGGUAUUGCCAAUGGAUCCUCCACAAUGACUCUGGUCCACAACUCUGCUUAGUACCCAGUCCAUACAAGUGUGGAAAAGCGAUGGGGCAAGGACACAGCCCUGCCUCACUCCCGCAUUCUGGGGAAAGAAGCUGGUGGGGUCAACAACUGACCGCCGUUGGUCAGUUGUUGACUUCCCAGGCGUGAAGCCAGACUGUUCAGCAGAUCUUUGUAGCUUCAGCAACUGGCUGUGAAUUCGCAUCAGCAAUAGAUGGGGAAGCACCUUGCCUGGCACACUGAGCAGUAAAAAUACCACGGUAGUCGUUGCAGUCCUGUUGGUCCUCUUUCCUUUUCCAGAUAGUAUGUAAGACAUUAUAUAAGGCCACA